This 243-nucleotide ribosomal RNA is filed under the name Paenibacillus agri. RNAcentral's name for it is "Bacterial small subunit ribosomal RNA". It matches the Rfam family "Bacterial small subunit ribosomal RNA", at positions 1007 to 1248 of the family's 1533-position model. The record is from Rfam by way of RNAcentral. Lineage: Bacteria; Bacillati; Bacillota; Bacilli; Caryophanales; Paenibacillaceae.
CAUUAGGUGCCCUUCGGGGAAAGUUGAGACAGGUGGUGCAUGGUUGUCGUCAGCUCGUGUCGUGAGAUGUUGGGUUAAGUCCCGCAACGAGCGCAACCCUUGACUUUAGUUGCCAGCAGGUGAAGCUGGGCACUCUAGAGUGACUGCCGGUGACAAACCGGAGGAAGGUGGGGAUGACGUCAAAUCAUCAUGCCCCUUAUGACCUGGGCUACACACGUACUACAAUGGCCGGUACAACGGGAA